AAGUCGUAACAAGGUUUCCGUAGGUGAACCUGCGGAAGGAUCAUUAACACUUUCAUUUUAUUGAAAAUUCAUUUUUCAAUAAUUUACUUACCCACAUUUUUGGAUGAAUUAUUUCUUUUUUUAUUCUUUUUUAAAAUUUUAUACCCAAAUACCAUAUUAUUUCUAACAUUUAUACACAAAAAGUUUAAGAAAAACAUAAAAAACAACUCUUAACAACGGAUAUCUAGGCUCUC
Molecule: unclassified non-coding RNA, 233 nt
Filed under: fungal sp.
Lineage: Eukaryota; Fungi
Description: partial internal transcribed spacer region
Rfam family: Eukaryotic small subunit ribosomal RNA (bases 1-46)
Source: RNAcentral